CCUACGGGUGGCAGCAGUGAGGAAUAUUGGUCAAUGGACGAGAGUCUGAACCAGCCAAGUAGCGUGAAGGAUGACUGCCCUAUGGGUUGUAAACUUCUUUUAUAAAGGAAUAAAACGAGGCACGUGUGCCUUUUUGCAUGUACUUUAUGAAUAAGGAUCGGCUAACUCCGUGCCAGCAGCCGCGGUAAUACGGAGGAUCCGAGCGUUAUCCGGAUUUAUUGGGUUUAAAGGGAGCGUAGAUGGGUUGUUAAGUCAGUUGUGAAAGUUUGCGGCUCAACCGUAAAAUUGCAAUUGAUACUGGCAGUCUUGAGUACAGUUGAGGUAGGCGGAAUUCGUGGUGUAGCGGUGAAAUGCUUAGAUAUCACGAAGAACCCCGAUUGCGAAGGCAGCUUACUAAACUGUAACUGACGCUGAGGUUCGAAAGCGUGGGUAGCAAACAGGAUUAGAUACCCCUGUAGUC
RNAcentral lists this ribosomal RNA (460 nucleotides) under uncultured bacterium. RNAcentral's name for it is "partial 16S ribosomal RNA". It matches the Rfam family "Bacterial small subunit ribosomal RNA", at positions 338 to 795 of the family's 1533-position model. The record is from RNAcentral.